AAGUAAUUAGCUCAAAGAUAGAGCUUUUGUCUUACAAACAAAAGGUUAUUAGUUUAAUUCUAAUAUUACUUA
RNAcentral lists this transfer RNA (72 nucleotides) under Piridium sociabile. RNAcentral's name for it is "tRNA-Val". It matches the Rfam family "tRNA". From Rfam's summary of the family: Transfer RNA (tRNA) molecules are approximately 80 nucleotides in length. The record is from RNAcentral. Lineage: Eukaryota; Vitrellaceae.